CUAAGGGACCCUGAUUAUAAAUUUAUUUAUAAAAUAGUUAAAAGGAAGUAUUAUAAAUGAUUUUACAUGGGAUUUAUACGAUUUAUGCCGAAGUGGAUUCAAGUACUAUUCAAAUAGUAUUCGAAUAACGGGCAUCAUGCGAAGAAAAUGCAGUACACAGACCCUGCCUGAUGGUACUGGGAUGCUUAAUCUCUCCACCUGCGGGUAGUUCCAAGAUGAUGAACACUCCGAGACAGGGAGUAGACGCCGGCGACAAAAAUUAUGUGUCCGAGGUGAAGAGGAAUCCGCCGUGAGUAUUUCAAGGCUACAAUUAUA
This 315-nucleotide small RNA is filed under the name Histoplasma capsulatum. RNAcentral's name for it is "hypothetical RNA". RNAcentral also lists the same sequence under 1 other name. Lineage: Eukaryota; Fungi; Ascomycota; Eurotiomycetes; Onygenales; Ajellomycetaceae. The record is from RNAcentral.